AGAGUUUGAUCCUGGCUCAGAAUGAACGCUGGCGGCGUGCCUAACACAUGCAAGUCGUACGAGAAAGGGGCUUCGGCCCUGAGUAGAGUGGCGCACGGGUGAGUAACACGUAGAUAAUCUGCCUUCAAGCCUGGGAUAACUAUUCGAAAGGGUAGCUAAUACCGGAUAAAGUCGAUCUACACAAGUAGAUUGAUGAAAGAUUGCCUCUUCUUGAAAGCAAUUGUUUGGAGAUGAGUUUGCGUACCAUUAGCUUGUUGGUGGGGUAAAGGCCUACCAAGGCAACGAUGGUUAGCUGGUCUGAGAGGAUGAUCAGCCACACUGGAACUGGAACACGGUCCAGACUCCUACGGGAGGCAGCAGUGAGGAAUUUUGCGCAAUGGGGGCAACCCUGACGCAGCAACGCCGCGUGAGUGAAGAAGGCCUUUGGGUCGUAAAGCUCUGUCAACAGGGAAGAAGUUACAAUUGUUUAAUAGAUGGUUGUAUUGACGGUACCUGUGGAGGAAGCGCCGGCUAACUCCGUGCCAGCAGCCGCGGUAAUACGGGGGGCGCAAGCGUUAUUCGGAAUUAUUGGGCGUAAAGGGCGCGCAGACGGUCUUGUCCGUCAGGUGUGAAAGCUCGGGGCUCAACCCCGGAAGUGCACUUGAAACAGCAAGACUUGAAUACGGGAGAGGAAAGCGGAAUUCCUGGUGUAGAGGUGAAAUUCGUAGAUAUCAGGAGGAACACCGAUGGCGAAGGCAGCUUUCUGGACCGAUAUUGACGCUGAGGCGCGAAGGCGUGGGUAGCAAACGGGAUUAGAUACCCUGGUAGUCG
Molecule: ribosomal RNA, 810 nt
Filed under: uncultured bacterium
Lineage: Bacteria
Description: bacterial SSU rRNA
Rfam family: Bacterial small subunit ribosomal RNA
Source: RNAcentral